Molecule: ribosomal RNA, 403 nt
Filed under: bacterium
Lineage: Bacteria
Description: partial 16S ribosomal RNA
Rfam family: Bacterial small subunit ribosomal RNA
Source: RNAcentral
UGGGGAAUCUUGCACAAUGGGGGAAACCCUGAUGCAGCGACGCCGCGUGAGCGAUGAAGGUUUUCGAAUCGUAAAGCUCUGUCCUAUGGGAAGAUAAUGACGGUACCAUAGGAGGAAGCCCCGGCUAACUACGUGCCAGCAGCCGCGGUAAUACGUAGGGGGCGAGCGUUGACCGGAAUUACUGGGCGUAAAGGGUUCGCAGGCGGCAUGACAAGUCCGAUGUAAAAGGCGAAAGCUCAACUUUCGUAAGCAUCGGAAACUGUCAAGCUUGAGUGAAGGAGAGGCAAGUGGAAUUCCUAGUGUAGCGGUGGAAUGCGUAGAUAUUAGGAGGAAUACCGGUGGCGAAGGCGACUUGCUGGACUUCAACUGACGCUGAGGAACGAAAGCGUGGGUAGCAAACAGG